UACAGAGGGUGCGAGCGUUAAUCGGAUUUACUGGGCGUAAAGGGCGCGUAGGCGGUAUGUUGUGAGUGAUGUGAAAGCCCUGGGCUUAACCUAGGAAGUGCAUCGCAGACUAACGUACUGGAGUAGAUGAGAGGGUGGCGGAAUUUCCGGUGUAGCGGUGAAAUGCGUAGAGAUCGGAAGGAACGUCGAUGGCGAAGGCAGCCACCUGGCAUCAUACUGACGCUGAGGCGCGAAAGCGUGGGGAUCGAACAGG
Molecule: ribosomal RNA, 253 nt
Filed under: uncultured bacterium
Lineage: Bacteria
Description: partial 16S ribosomal RNA
Rfam family: Bacterial small subunit ribosomal RNA
Source: RNAcentral